CCUACGGGGCGCAGCAGUGGGGGAUAUUGCACAAUGGGGGGAACCCUGAUGCAGCGACGCCGCGUGGGUGAAGGAGUAUUUCGGUAUGUAAAGCCCUAUCGGCAGGGAAGAAAUUGGACGGUACCUGACUAAGAAGCCCCGGCUAACUACGUGCCAGCAGCCGCGGUAAUACGUAGGGGGCAAGCGUUAUCCGGAUUCACUGGGUGUAAAGGGAGCGUAGACGGCCAUGCAAGCCAGGGGUGAAAGCCCGGGGCCCAACCCCGGGACUGCCCUUGGAACUGCAUGGCUGGAGUGCGGGAGGGGCAGGCGGAAUUCCUGGUGUAGCGGUGAAAUGCGUAGAUAUCAGGAGGAACACCGGCGGCGAAGGCGGCCUGCUGGACCGCGACUGACGUUGAGGCUCGAAAGCGUGGGGAGCGAACAGGAUUAGAUACCCUAGUAGUC
Molecule: ribosomal RNA, 441 nt
Filed under: uncultured bacterium
Lineage: Bacteria
Description: partial 16S ribosomal RNA
Rfam family: Bacterial small subunit ribosomal RNA
Source: RNAcentral